AGCGAACGCUGGCGGCAGGCCUAACACAUGCAAGUCGAACGAACCUUUCGGGGUUAGUGGCGGACGGGUGAGUAACACGUGGGAACGUGCCUUUAGGUUCGGAAUAACUCAGGGAAACUUGUGCUAAUACCGAAUGUGCCCUUCGGGGGAAAGAUUAAUCGCCUUUAGAGCGGCCCGCGUCUGAUUAGCUAGUUGGUUGAGGUAAUGGCUCACCAAGGCGACGAUCAGUAGCUGGUCUGAGAGGAUGAUCAGCCACAUUGGGACUGAGACACGGCCCAAACUCCUACGGGAAGCAGCAGGGGGGAAUCUUGCGCAAUGGGCGAAAGCCUGACGCAGCCAUGCCGGGGGAAUGAUGAAGGUCUUAGGAUUGGAAAAUUCUUUUACCGGGGACGAUAAUGACGGUACCCGGAGAAGAAGCCCCGGCUAACUUCGUG
RNAcentral lists this ribosomal RNA (434 nucleotides) under uncultured bacterium. RNAcentral's name for it is "partial 16S ribosomal RNA". It matches the Rfam family "Bacterial small subunit ribosomal RNA", at positions 29 to 507 of the family's 1533-position model. The record is from RNAcentral.